Molecule: long non-coding RNA, 2771 nt
Organism: Macadamia integrifolia
Lineage: Eukaryota; Viridiplantae; Streptophyta; Magnoliopsida; Proteales; Proteaceae
Exons: 4
Source: RefSeq, a predicted model, not a curated record
ACUUUCAAAUCUAAGUACAAGUUUUCCCCCUAUUUCUAUGCCGCCACGAAGGUAUGCAUAUUUCAAAGUCCUUUUUGGUGUCAUUGCAUAUUUAACUGAUACACCUUUGGCAUUUGAAUCAAGGAAAGUAAUGCGAUCGUCAUUUUUUUUUUUUCUUUUGAAUCCCUUGGUAGGGUUAGUUCAUGCUUCAGGCCUUACUUGAAACUUGAAAUUGGGUAGAGAGAGGGAGAGAUGAAAGUAAUGCGAUCGUCUGUUUUUAGUUUUUUUGUUUUUCUCCCUCGGUAGGGUUAGUUAAUGUUUCAGAAACUUGAAAUUCAUAGGAAUGAAUGGAUUCACAUGUCGAAUCCAACGCAGAGGAGGAACUCGUGUCACUUGAUAGGGUUUGAUCUAUUUUCUGAAGGAGAAAAGAUCCUCGGAUGGUUGGCUCACUCUUGCAUCUGUGAAAGUUGUUAUUCAUAUUCAGUAGUGAUAACGUGGAUUACAUGUGGCAGUGCAUGAAGGAAACAGACAGAACGAGGGCUUGCAGGAAAUCGCUCAAGAAACUCGGGAAAACGCUUCAGCCACCAUCCACCGUCCACCGUUACUGGUCUUGAUUGAGCAAGAGAUGCGGUCCGAUGAAGUUAUUGUUGAAUGGGAAGGUAGACAUAGAGAUGGCAGAGAACUCGAAUCCAGGCUUGGGUUUUAUUUAUUUAUUUUUUUUUUGGAGGGUAAAUGAGGCUUGGAUGGUUGCUCCCUCUUUUCAUCUGUUCGCCACAUUUCACAGCUUCUUUUGAUAAGGGAACGUGUUUUUAUUGAUACGGUGGGUCUUGGUGGUGUGGGAACUCAUGACAAGGUAUGAAUCUUCAAUAGUGAUACCUUGGUGGUGUGGAAACUCAUAACAAGGUACGAGUCUUCAAUACUGAUUUUUUAUUUCUGGUUUGCUAUAUUUAUCAAUUUAUCAACAAGUGCCACCUUAUGAAUUUUGUAUCAUUAAAUCAAUAAAUUUAUUGAAAGAAGAAAAUUAAGUUCAACCAAGUGUGUUCAGGGGAUUGCCUCAUAAAUUUCAUGAAUGUUUCGUGUUUGGUUUCAUCUGAAAUGUUCUAUCAAAGAAGCUUUGUUGCUCUGUUUGUAAUUGUUCUAUUGAUACCGUUCACCAUGUAGGAUCUGGUGAUCUGGUCUUGCAAAUUUUUAGAGCUGUGUUUUGGAUUCUUUGCACUGUAAUGGAUGAAUAUCAAUUGUUCUAACAGUGGCAAGCACAAUCAAGAUAUAUGAAGAAAAGGUGAAUUGAGCAGGGGAACAACCAGUAACAUGUAACGCAGGGUGUAGGAUGUAAUAGGAAUGAGUCGAAUGACUCCAGUAGUACUCGUUAUCACCAACAGUAGUUCCUUCCACAAUGAUAGAACAAACAGUGGUCACAGCCUCAAUAGGCCUAAAGUUGCAGAGAACUUGAAAUAGAAACAAGAGAAGAAGAAGGGGAUAUGACCAAGGCCUCUCACCCAUGGCUGUGGUCAGUAUGCCAUUAACCCAAAAGGCAUCUCUCACCUCACAACUGUUUCUCACAGCAAGCAGCAAGACAGCGAAGGCACAAAUAGCCAGUUCCGUUAAACUUCAAAUUGUUUUUUAUUUUUUAUUUUUGAGGGUGGGGGGUGGGGGAGCUACAUGGCCCUUAUAUUAUAAGGAAGGAUCUACUCCCUUCAAAAGAAACUAAUAAAAAUGGAAACUACUGGGAAAAAAAGGUCCAAAAAUGUAGUAGUGGGCCUUGUACAAGAAGUAAAUAAUAAAUAGAAAACUACUAAAUAAAACAAAAAGAAACCGAAGUAACUAUGGAUCUACUCCCGUCAAAAGAAACUAUAAAAAAUGGAAACUACUGAAAAAAAAAAGGUCCAAAAAUUUAGUAGUGGGCCUUGUACAACAAAUAAAUAAUAAAUAGAAAACUACUAGAUAAAAAAAGAAAAGAAACCAAAGUAACUAUGUAGUUAUACUACAAUAUGGACCCCACGAAUCUGGUUUUUAGUUAACCAGUAGCAUCCAGACCAAGGUUGGCAUGGCCUGAACCAAAAUAGGUUCAGUUGAAGAACUGUGGCCUAUUGAAGGGCCUGGUUCUUCUUCUUCUUGCGGCUAUACUAUUUUGAGUAUAGCUUGUCUACAUCAGAGUGGGUCCUCUUUGUUUUCCUCCCUGGUGUUAUUUCUCCCUAGUUGGAUUUCUUUUUAACAAAGAUUUCUCAGUUCUCUUUAGUAAAGCUUGUUGAGAUUGACGCUAGGAUUAGCGCUAGUUCCUUGGAUCAAUAGGGUCAAUUCUGUCCUAUUGGACCCAGUACUUUUAGUUAGGGUUACUUCUUUAUGUCUUGGGGGUAUUCUUGUAUUUUCAUUCUUAUGAAAGAAUAUUAAGGUUAGGGAAAACCUGCGAUCAAACCAUUCUGGUAAGAUCGCAGGUCUCUUCUCAUCUUUUGGGGAUUCUCCUUCGGUUGUACCUCUCUCUUCUCUCUUCUCUUCUUUCUUUUUCUUUUGGUUUGAUUACAAGGUAUCUGGGAUUGUAACAUAGCUUUUUUGAAUUUUCUGCUUUGUAGUAAUCAGUUUUUCAUCUUUUACUGUUGCUAUUUUAUGACUUGUAGUUGAUGUUUUCUAGCCUGCAGCAAUGAGUUCUUUAUUUUCUACUAUUUCUACAUGUGUAAGGUAUGGUUUUCUUUCAUUUUUUGAACUGACAUCCAUUUGGCUUACAAUUUCUAGGUCUUUCUUCUUAUACAGCUGAUGGGCAUUGCACCAAUGCUACUGCUACUGGUUUACAGUUACCU